Molecule: long non-coding RNA, 1581 nt
Organism: Astyanax mexicanus (Mexican tetra)
Lineage: Eukaryota; Metazoa; Chordata; Actinopteri; Characiformes; Acestrorhamphidae
Exons: 3
Source: RefSeq, a predicted model, not a curated record
GCAGCAGGACUGAAGUGAAGAGAAAGUGAAAGUAGAUCUGCUUCCGCUCUGGAAGAUCAAAUGGAGAGACGAUUAGAAGAUUUGUGGAUUAAAAGCUGAAACUCGCUCUUAUUAUUAUGAUCAGACUGUUAUCAGAUAAAAAGCUGAUAUGAGCUGCUUUAAAAUGUGGACAUAUUUCACCUGAAUCAGACAAAUGUCUGAGUGAAGAAGAUCAAAGUGUGUGUGUAUUUGUGUGUGUGUGUGUGUGUGUGUGUAUAGUGUGUGUGUAGUUUGUGUGUGUGUUGUAUUGUGUUUGACUGAAUCUACAGGAGGAGAUAAAGAUGGCGGAAGCUUUGAGUAACAGUGAGUUUAAACUCAUUGGUCCUCGUGGUUUAGAUAAACAGUCUGGUUCUGCUGUUACUCUCUCGUGUCUCCUGUCUCCUGAACUCAGUGCUGUUGGGAUGGAGAUCAGGUGGUUUAAGGGGAUGAACUGUGUUUGUCUCUAUAAGAACAGACAGGUAACAGAGGGGAGGAGCUACGAGGGCAGAGUGAGUCUGAUCACUCAGGAGCUGCAGAGAGGAAACGUCUCCUUACAGAUCAGAAACUGCAGAGGAUCAGAUUUAGGAGUUUACCUGUGUCAGGUAACCAGCGGAGACACAACAGAGGAGUGUACUGUAGAAGUGUGGGGUGAGUAUUCCAGACCUUCACUCUACAUAAACUCAUCUUCAUCAUCAUCAUCAUCUUCAUCAUCAUCUCUCUGAGAAUAAGAGAUAUAAAGAGAGAAAUCUCACACUCUCACAAUCACACAACACUAUCUGUAAUGUUCACUCUCACAACUACACUCUUUUUUUUUUGGCCCGCCACCACCCCCCCUCUUCGGAGGACUAUUAGUAUUGUUUAUUUAUUUGAUUAUGUACACAUUACAACAGUUACUAGUUUCUGUUUUUGUUGCGUGUAUUUUUUUUACACUCUUACAAUACCACUCUCGCACUCUCACUAUCACACCCCCAAACUCUCUAACUCACAACAACCACACUCUCACAAUCACACUGUCACCAUCACACUCUCAUAACCACACUCUCACUCUUAUACUCUCACAACCACACUCUCACCUCAGACUCUUACAACCAAACUCUCACAGUCACACUCUUGCAUCACACUCUUACAACCACACACUUACAAUCACACUCUCACAACCACAUUCUCACAAUCACACUCUCACAACCACACUCACAACUACUGUCAUUUUCAUCAUUAUGCUCUCACACUCACACUUGCACAACCAUACUCUCACAACCAGACUUUCACAGUCACACUCAUACUCUCACAACCACACUUUCACAAUCAGACUCUCACAAUCACACUCUUACAAUUGCACUGUCAAAACAACACAUUUAAACUUUCAUAACCACUCACUCUCACAUCAUACUCAAACACCACACAUCUCACAUUACUCUCUCCUGCAACACUUUCACACUACACUUACACACUCUCAUAUCACAUUUAUAUAACCACACCCUUACAUCACACUCUCAUAAUCACACUCUCAUAAUGACACUCUCAUAAUCACACUCUCACAAUUACACACUCACAUUACACUCA